This 73-nucleotide transfer RNA is filed under the name Stegodyphus mimosarum. It matches the Rfam family "tRNA". From Rfam's summary of the family: Transfer RNA (tRNA) molecules are approximately 80 nucleotides in length. Their secondary structure includes four short double-helical elements and three loops (D, anti-codon, and T loops). Lineage: Eukaryota; Metazoa; Arthropoda; Arachnida; Araneae; Eresidae. The record is from Rfam by way of RNAcentral.
GACUUCGUGGUGUAGUGGUCAGCACGCUGGGUGUAUAACCGAGAAGUUCGUGGUUCGAUUCCCGGCGAAGGCA